AUUGAACGCUGGCGGCAGGCCUAACACAUGCAAGUCGAGCGGUGACACAGAGAGCUUGCUCUCGGAUGACGAGCGGCGGACGGGUGAGUAAUGUCUGGGAAACUGCCUGAUGGGAGGGGGAUAACUACUGGAAACGGUAGCUAAUACCGCAUAAUGUCGCAAGACCAAAGAGGGGGACCUUAGGGCCUCUUGCCAUCGGAUGUGCCCAGAUGGGAUUAG
This 219-nucleotide ribosomal RNA is filed under the name uncultured bacterium. RNAcentral's name for it is "partial 16S ribosomal RNA". It matches the Rfam family "Bacterial small subunit ribosomal RNA", at positions 30 to 244 of the family's 1533-position model. The record is from RNAcentral.